RNAcentral lists this ribosomal RNA (560 nucleotides) under uncultured bacterium. RNAcentral describes it as "bacterial SSU rRNA". It matches the Rfam family "Bacterial small subunit ribosomal RNA", at positions 338 to 916 of the family's 1533-position model. The record is from RNAcentral.
CCUACGGGAGGCAGCAGUGGGGAAUCUUAGACAAUGGGGGAAACCCUGAUCUAGCGAUGCCGCGUGGAUGAAGAAGGCCUUCGGGUUGUAAAGUCCUUUCACCUGUGAAGAUAAUGACGGUAGCAGGAGAAGAAGCACCGGCAAACUCUGUGCCAGCAGCCGCGGUAAGACAGAGGGUGCUAGCGUUGUUCGGAAUGACUGGGCGUAAAGGGCGCGUAGGCGGAAAUAUUAGUCAGGCGUGAAAGCCCCGGGCUUAACCUGGGAAUAGCGCAUGAAACGGUAUUACUAGAGGACGAGAGAGGAAAGCGGAGUUCCUAGUGUAGAGGUGAAAUUCGUAGAUAUUAGGAGGAACAUCAGAGGCGAAGGCGGCUUUCUGGCUCGUAACUGACGCUGAGGCGCGAAAGCGUGGGGAGCAAACAGGAUUAGAUACCCUGGUAGUCCACGCUGUAAACGAUGAGUGCUAGACGUUGGACCCGAAAGGGAUCAGUGUCGGAGCAAACGCAAUAAGCACUCCGCCUGGGGAGUACGGUCGCAAGAUUAAAACUCAAAGGAAUUGACGG